UACGGGAGGCAGCAGUGGGGAAUAUUGCACAAUGGGCGCAAGCCUGAUGCAGCCAUGCCGCGUGUAUGAAGAAGGCCUUCGGGUUGUAAAGUACUUUCAGUCGUGAGGAAGGUGUUAAGGUUAAUAACCUUAGCAAUUGACGUUAGCGACAGAAGAAGCACCGGCUAACUCCGUGCCAGCAGCCGCGGUAAUACGGAGGGUGCGAGCGUUAAUCGGAAUUACUGGGCGUAAAGGGCACGCAGGCGGUUAAUUAAGUUGGAUGUGAAAUCCCCGGGCUUAACCUGGGAAUGGCAUUCAAGACUGGUUAGCUAGAGUCUGUAGAGGGGGUAGAAUUCCAUGUGUAGCGGUGAAAUGCGUAGAGAUGUGGAGGAAUACCGGUGGCGAAGGCGGCCCCUGGACAAAGACUGACGCUCAUGUGCGAAAGCGUGGGGAGCAAAC
RNAcentral lists this ribosomal RNA (438 nucleotides) under uncultured bacterium. RNAcentral describes it as "bacterial SSU rRNA". It matches the Rfam family "Bacterial small subunit ribosomal RNA", at positions 340 to 773 of the family's 1533-position model. The record is from RNAcentral.